GGAGUCUGCUGAGCAGUCACUUUCCGAAUUUCCUUCGGGAAUCGGGGGGAGGAAAGUCCGGGCUCUAAGGGCAAGGUGCCAGGUAACGCCUGGAGGAUGCGAAUCCAUGGAAAGUGCAACAGAGAGUAGACCGCCUGUUUGCUCCGCUUGAAUUAUAUUCAAACGGGGAGCAGGUAAGGGUGAAACGGCGUGGUAAGAGCACACCGCACAACUAGUAAUAGCUGUGGCUAGGUAAACCCCACCGAGAGCAAGACCAAAUAGAGGGGCAUGGAGUAAUCCAGCAUAUGGCCCAUAUGGCCCCCGGGUAGGUUGCUAGAGGUUCAUGGUGACAUGGAUCCCAGAUGAAUGGCUGUUCUAGACAGAACCCGGCUUACAGGCAGACUCCCACU
RNAcentral lists this RNase P RNA (389 nucleotides) under Gammaproteobacteria bacterium. Its description in RNAcentral is "RNase P RNA component class A". It matches the Rfam family "Bacterial RNase P class A". From Rfam's summary of the family: Ribonuclease P (RNase P) is a ubiquitous endoribonuclease, found in archaea, bacteria and eukarya as well as chloroplasts and mitochondria. Its best characterised activity is the generation of mature 5'-ends of tRNAs by cleaving the 5'-leader elements of precursor-tRNAs. Lineage: Bacteria; Pseudomonadati; Pseudomonadota; Gammaproteobacteria. The record is from RNAcentral.